CCUCAUGGUGAAACACUGAAAGACGGUUUCGGCUGUCGCUAUAGGAUGGGCCCGCGGCGCAUUAGCUAGUUGGUGAGGUAACGGCUCACCAAGGCGACGAUGCGUAGCCGACCUGAGAGGGUGAUCGGCCACACUGGGACUGAGACACGGCCCAGACUCCUACGGGAGGCAGCAGUAGGGAAUCUUCCACAAUGGGCGAAAGCCUGAUGGAGCAACGCCGCGUGAGUGAAGAAGGAUUUCGGUUCGUAAAACUCUGUUGUAAGGGAAGAACAAGUACAGUAGUAACUGGCUGUACCUUGACGGUACCUUAUUAGAAAGCCACGGCUAACUACGUGCCAGCAGCCGCGGUAAUACGUAGGUGGCAAGCGUUGUCCGGAAUUAUUGGGCGUAAAGGGCUCGCAGGCGGUUUCUUAAGUCUGAUGUGAAAGCCCCCGGCUCAACCGGGGAGGGUCAUUGGAAACUGGGGAACUUGAGUGCAGAAGAGGAGAGUGGAAUUCCACGUGUAGCGGUGAAAUGCGUAGAGAUGUGGAGGAACACCAGUGGCGAAGGCGACUCUCUGGUCUGUAACUGACGCUGAGGAGCGAAAGCGUGGGGAGCGAACAGGAUUAGAUACCCUGGUAGUCCACGCCGUAAACGAUGAGUGCUAAGUGUUAGGGGUUUUCCGCCCCUUAGUGCUGCAG
This 680-nucleotide ribosomal RNA is filed under the name Vibrio splendidus. RNAcentral describes it as "bacterial SSU rRNA". It matches the Rfam family "Bacterial small subunit ribosomal RNA", at positions 186 to 851 of the family's 1533-position model. The record is from RNAcentral. Lineage: Bacteria; Pseudomonadati; Pseudomonadota; Gammaproteobacteria; Vibrionales; Vibrionaceae.